Molecule: ribosomal RNA, 582 nt
Filed under: uncultured bacterium
Lineage: Bacteria
Description: bacterial SSU rRNA
Rfam family: Bacterial small subunit ribosomal RNA
Source: RNAcentral
AGUGGCGAACGGGUGAGUAAUACAUCGGAACGUGCCCAGUAAUGGGGGAUAGCUCGGCGAAAGCCGGAUUAAUACCGCAUACGCCCUGAGGGGGAAAGUGGGGGACCGCAGGGCCUCACGUUAUUGGAGCGGCCGAUGGCUGAUUAGCUAGUUGGUAGGGUAAAGGCCUACCAAGGCGACGAUCAGUAGCUGGUCUGAGAGGACGAUCAGCCACACUGGGACUGAGACACGGCCCAGACUCCUACGGGAGGCAGCAGUGGGGAAUUUUGGACAAUGGGGGAAACCCUGAUCCAGCAAUGCCGCGUGUGCGAAGAAGGCCUUCGGGUUGUAAAGCACUUUUGUCAGGGAAGAAAUCCUUUGGGCUAAUACCCUAGGGGGAUGACGGUACCUGAAGAAUAAGCACCGGCUAACUACGUGCCAGCAGCCGCGGUAAUACGUAUGGUGCAAGCGUUAAUCGGAAUUACUGGGCGUAAAGCGUGCGCAGGCGGUUGUGUAAGACAGGUGUGAAAUCCCCGGGCUUAACCUGGGAAUUGCAUUUGUGACUGCACGACUAGAGUGUGUCAGAGGGGGGUGGAAUUCCAC